AUCAAUAAGCGGAGGAAAAGCAACUAACCAGGAUUCCCCCAGUAACGGCGAGCGAAGCGGGAAUAGCUCGAGCAGGCAAUCUCUGGUGUUAAUCGCCAGCGAAUUGUGGCCGGCAGAGGCGGAUGCACCUGACGCGACUCCGUCGAAGUUGACCUGGAAAGGCACGUCGGAGAGGGUGAUAGCCCCGUGCGUGGCGGAGUCGCGGAGGGCCGCUACCGUCUUCGGAGAGUCGGGUUGUUUGGGAGUGCAGCCCAAAGUGGGUGGUAAACUCCAUCUAAAGCCAAAUAACGGCACGAGACCGAUAGCGAACAAGUACCAUGAGGGAAAGGUGAAAAGCACUUUGGAAAGAGAGUUAAAGAGGCCGCGAAACCGUUGGGAGGGAAACGCAUGCAGCCGAACUGGCCCGCGUCGAGUUCAGGGGGCUGCGAGAAGUCGUGCGUGUAGACGUCACCUCUGGGGUCGUCUGUGCGUCCGGGCGCCUCGCAUUCCUGGUCUCUCGGCGGCAAGGGCCAGCCAAGUGCGGUGGGUGCCGGUCGAUGAGCACGCGUCGGGCAGGUAGCGCAACUGCUCUUGCAGGGGCGAACUUAUAGCCGAUCGUGCGGAGCGUCCGGUACCCACCGAGGAGAGUGGUGGCGUUUGCACCCCCGUAGCGCAGGCCGCUUGCGGCCGGGGCGCUCUCGUUCGUUGCUCUGCCGCGUCGUGUCACUGCUCGCAGUGCCCGGUGACGGUGGACGCAGCGGGUGGGAGGUCGUCCACACCUUGCGCUGUGGUCGCUUGGCUAGCCGUCGGCUGCAUUCGA
RNAcentral lists this ribosomal RNA (799 nucleotides) under Stelletta normani. RNAcentral describes it as "eukaryotic LSU rRNA". It matches the Rfam family "Eukaryotic large subunit ribosomal RNA", at positions 42 to 647 of the family's 3401-position model. Lineage: Eukaryota; Metazoa; Porifera; Demospongiae; Tetractinellida; Ancorinidae. The record is from RNAcentral.